GUGGGGAAUUUUGGACAAUGGGCGCAAGCCUGAUCCAGCAAUGCCGCGUGCAGGAAGAAGGCCUUCGGGUUGUAAACUGCUUUUGUACGGAACGAAACGGUCCGGGUUAAUACCCUGGGCUAAUGACGGUACCGUAAGAAUAAGCACCGGCUAACUACGUGCCAGCAGCCGCGGUAAUACGUAGGGUGCAAGCGUUAAUCGGAAUUACUGGGCGUAAAGCGUGCGCAGGCGGUUUUGUAAGACAGGCGUGAAAUCCCCGGGCUCAACCUGGGAAUUGCGCUUGUGACUGCAAGGCUGGAGUGCGGCAGAGGGGGAUGGAAUUCCGCGUGUAGCAGUGAAAUGCGUAGAUAUGCGGAGGAACACCGAUGGCGAAGGCAAUCCCCUGGGCCUGCACUGACGCUCAUGCACGAAAGCGUGGGGAGUAAACAGGAUUAGAUACCCUUGUAGUCC
RNAcentral lists this ribosomal RNA (450 nucleotides) under uncultured bacterium. RNAcentral's name for it is "partial 16S ribosomal RNA". It matches the Rfam family "Bacterial small subunit ribosomal RNA", at positions 354 to 796 of the family's 1533-position model. The record is from RNAcentral.